RNAcentral lists this ribosomal RNA (233 nucleotides) under Clostridium argentinense. RNAcentral's name for it is "partial 23S ribosomal RNA". It matches the Rfam family "Bacterial large subunit ribosomal RNA", at positions 1 to 229 of the family's 2925-position model. The record is from RNAcentral. Lineage: Bacteria; Bacillati; Bacillota; Clostridia; Eubacteriales; Clostridiaceae.
UUUUUAGGUCAAGCUACAAAGGGCGCAGGGUGAAUGCCUUGGCACUAGGAGCCGAAGAAGGACGUGAUAAGCUGCGAUAAGCUUUGGGUAGACGCAAAUAGUCUGUGAUCCAAAGAUUUCCGAAUGGGGGAACCCACAUGGCUACGCCAUGUACUAUAUGCUGAAUACAUAGGUAUAUAGAGGUAAACCCGGGGAACUGAAACAUCUAAGUACCCGGAGGAAGAGAAAGAAAA